This 465-nucleotide ribosomal RNA is filed under the name uncultured bacterium. Its description in RNAcentral is "partial 16S ribosomal RNA". It matches the Rfam family "Bacterial small subunit ribosomal RNA", at positions 338 to 795 of the family's 1533-position model. The record is from RNAcentral.
CCUACGGGUGGCAGCAGUGGGGAAUAUUGCGCAAUGGGCGAAAGCCUGACGCAGCGACGCCGCGUGAGGGAUGAAGGUCUUCGGAUCAUAAACCUCUGUCAGCAGGGAAGAACGGUCACUGUGCUAAUCAGCAGUGAAUUGACGGUACCUGCAAGGGAAGCACCGGCUAACUCCGUGCCAGCAGCGGCGGUAAUACGGGGGGUGCGAGCGUUAAUGGGAAUUCCUGGGCGUAAAGCUCUCGUAGGCGGUAAGUCAAGUCAAGGGUGAAAUCCCCGGGCUCAACGUGGGAACUGCCUUUGAAACUGGCCAACUGGAGGGUGUGAGAGGAUAGUGCAAGUCCAGGUGUAGGAGUGAAAGCCGUAGAUAUUUGGAGGAACAGCAGUGGCGAAGGCGACUAUCUGGCACAUAACUGACGCUGAGGAGCGAAAGCGUGGGUAGCAAACAGGAUUAGAUACCCGGGUAGUC